CAGAAAACUGCUUCUGGUCCAGCUUUUCUCCGACACCAACGGAGGCAGCAACUCUGUCCCCCCAGGUCUCAGGCACGAGGCUAUGCUGUCCUUUCAAAGGCCCAGCUUUGGACGUGGGCAGUGCAGGAGCUGAAGCUGCAGGAACUUGCCGCGUCUGCAAGGAGCCCCGAGAGCUCUCUGAAGUGGUUUGAGCACAGGCCUGUCAAA
Long non-coding RNA from Oxyura jamaicensis (ruddy duck), 207 nucleotides. RefSeq lists it as uncharacterized. The record is from RefSeq and is a predicted model, not a curated record. The transcript has 2 exons. NCBI's taxonomy places the organism in Eukaryota, Metazoa, Chordata, Aves, Anseriformes, Anatidae.